CUCUCCCCCUCUGCUCCUCUCUUUCCUUCUCUUUCAUGCCACCCCUCGUAGCCUCCUAUUGUUGUUGCCGAGAGCUGGCAGGCCAGGGUGGUUGUGGCAGGGGAAGCAUGUGGAGGAGAAGCUGGAGCCCGUUGCUAGGAGGCUGCAGCGCUGCAAGGUGAACACCUUGGCGUUCUCACUCUGUGGCUGGUCCCAGAGGCUUGUUUCCCAGGUUGUGACAGAUGCCCUAUAAAGCAAGAACUUCUUCUUUAUAGAAGGCUAGCCUGGACCAUGCCUGUAGAGAAAAUGUAUGCUGAGUGUGAUAAUGUACUGCCUCAGAUUGCAUGCAGAAAAAGAUGUACCAGUUGCCUGGCAAGAUGAACUCAAGAAACACAAAGAAAAGUCUUCUGAGAGAAUACAAAGAAGUUUUCAGUUUUACCGAAGUCAGGGUGACUAUUCCAGGCUCGACACCUGAUACCCUUGAGCCUGUGUUCAUUAUGACAUCACAGCUGACAAGAGAGGACCUAGCUGGGACAUGGAUCUGGACAGUAUAUUAUGAAGUGUGACAUACUGGAAAUCUCUGUUCAUCCAUCUAUGGGAGACUUGCUAAAGAAGUCAAAAAAGAAAAGAUGAUCUGAUGACCUGUGCAGAGAGGUGAGAUACAAACUAACACCCAAACCAGAUGUGGUCAUGGAAAAUCCUAUAGCAUUUCCAAAAGAGGAUGGAUGUUAAACUUGGUGUCCUGGUCAUACACUUACUAAGACCCUUUUUGUCUUCUAGGUUAUCAGCUUGCAAUCCAGCUAUCUGAGAAUACUGUUGACCAUCAUCUGAUCAGAGUCUGACUGUCCUUUGGGGUGAGGUAGUAGGUUGUAUAGUUUUAGGGUUAUACCCUGCCUGUCAGAUAACUAUACAAUCUACUGUCUUUCCUGAAGUGGCUGUGAUAUCAACGCUGGAUAUGGCUUCAAAAGAUGUAACAGAAGUCUUCUAAUUUGGAUGGUCUUUGGCUAUAUCCACUCAUUAGAUAUAGCCACUUGCAACUGAGCUCUAAUGGAAUAACAAACCCUGUGUUGUUCAUUUAGCUUUCAUAGAAUGCUACAAUUUUUGUCAUCCAGAUAAAGAAACAGUUGAAUUUCCACCAUCUGCAGUGAAUCAUGGUGACCAAUGUGUACUACAUGCUCUCCAGUGAGGAUGAUGUUAGCUCUCACUGUGCUUCCCUCCUCCCCUUGCAUGUGUGUCAGGGAAAGAACCAAAAGAAUAAGACAAAUUGCCCAGUUCUCCACAACCCCGCGCCUUGUGCAGUCAGGUAAUAUUCAACAGAAGUGGAUAUCAAAUGCUACUUUUGCACAGCUGUAAAUCGCUGUUUAAAGUACAGGGAAAUGGUGAACUGUACAGAAGGCCAAGAGCUGGCCAUUUGGAAGUUAGUUUCCAUGCCAAGAGAAAUGACACUAGGCUGCAGAGGUUUGUUGUUGGGUUUCUGAUUGCUGAUUUAUCUCAUUUUUUUGCAUUACGUAUACGUGAACAGGCCAUCCUGACUGCUACUCCUCUUUCUACUGGAUUAUUCCACCCACUUACACUGUGACUCCCCUGGACAGCUCUGAGGCAGGGCUGAAAUCACAAAGUUCACAAAGAUGCUGUUCUUUCUUUAGUUAGCAAGGAACAAAUCGGCUCUGAAAGCAGAGGGGAAUUCUACUGGUGAAUUGUGGAAGCAAAGGCCACUGAAUUGCUAACCUUCUUCGAAGGAAUUUCCUGGUGCUCUGGCAGGGUGAGGUAGUAGGUUGUGUGGUUUCAGGGUAGUGAUUUUGCCCCAAUCAGGAGAUAACUAUACAACCUACUGCCUUCCCUGAUGAGCAGUAUUACAGCAUCUCAGAAACUCUUAAUCCUUUCUGUUGUAAGUGAAACCAGGAUUUAAAUCUACCUCCAUGACCAGAAAAGUGAGCCUGUGUAAAACUGGAGUGAUCUUGUCAAAAGCAGCUUUUGAUCUUAACUAUAGGAGAAGGAAGCACUUGCAGAUUAACUGUGUUUGUUUCUAAGUGUAUGUUUUAAAUUCCAUUUAUCAAAAGAAAUAAAAUAAAGACAAGUUUUGUUUGUUUCCAAA
Molecule: RNA transcript, 2074 nt
Organism: Alligator sinensis (Chinese alligator)
Lineage: Eukaryota; Metazoa; Chordata; Crocodylia; Alligatoridae
Exons: 8
Source: RefSeq, a predicted model, not a curated record